Molecule: long non-coding RNA, 477 nt
Organism: Haliotis rufescens (red abalone)
Lineage: Eukaryota; Metazoa; Mollusca; Gastropoda; Lepetellida; Haliotidae
Exons: 2
Source: RefSeq, a predicted model, not a curated record
UCAGUAAAAGAGUGCAUAGGAAAGAAGAACUUUCAAACAUUUUAGGGCUGAUACAAUCGUCUUCAAACGUCAUGGUCUAACGUACAUUCCUUACCGCCAACGACCAAUCAGAAUGCAGGAUUCAAACAUGCCAUCGAAAAAUAAUAUAAUAAGACUUUAUUAUCGUUGUAAGUGCAGUCCAAUAGCAGCCUUUUUUUCAACCUCCAGCUGCCUACCAGGUUACAGAUGCUCGUAUGAACGCCUUCACCUGUUCCACCACAGACUGCUUCAGCUACCUUGACGGUCCAUUCUGCAUCUCCAACGGCUCCGUCGUCUGUGACAACUGCAUCCGGGACGGCAUGCUUUGCGCUGACACCAGCCUCAGCUCCUCCGACUGCAACCAGCCCUGCGAUAAAUAGGACUGAUUAUAUGACGAUAUAGAUAGUUGAUGAAUGUAAACUUGAUGGCCUAUUCACAUCAAUAAACAAUGUGCAGCAA